UCUGUGCUGCUGGUUACUUUGUAAAGUCUGGGGGUCUGUGGUCAUGAGAUGCAAAUUCAGCUUUAACAAAUCAAAAUGAGGAUAUCGGAAUGGUCAUUCAAUAUAUUUAAAUUGGAUUUUGAUUUAUCAUGUGACAAACAACACUCGUGAUGUAGGUGUGUUUAACAGCGAUCACAAAUCGAAAGUGUUUCAAAGACUUCCUGGUGCACACGACCGUCUGAACUACUGCAAGACCUGCCCACAACAGGGAACUAUAAUGAAUAUUCAUGGAUGCUCCACCAACUGAAUAUUACACAACACUGGGUUAUGUGAAUUCAGACAGGUCAUGAUGAGCAUCUGAUUGUUUUCACAAACCAGUCUGUUUAGCUGCAGGAUGUCAGAGGAGCCGAGGAAAGGACUCUCUAUCUGAGAUGAGUCUCU
Long non-coding RNA from Cyprinus carpio (common carp), 420 nucleotides. RefSeq lists it as uncharacterized. The transcript has 3 exons. Lineage: Eukaryota; Metazoa; Chordata; Actinopteri; Cypriniformes; Cyprinidae. The record is from RefSeq and is a predicted model, not a curated record.